This 131-nucleotide microRNA precursor is filed under the name Prunus dulcis (almond). Its description in RNAcentral is "sRNA ncRNA". The record is from RNAcentral. Lineage: Eukaryota; Viridiplantae; Streptophyta; Magnoliopsida; Rosales; Rosaceae.
ACCAAGAAGGCAUUUGUCUGCACUUACACUUGCACCUAUACAUGGAUCUCUGAGUUCAUCAGUGCAUGAGAAAACCAGUAAAGACCAAAAGAGGUGCAGGUGCAAAUGCAGAUAAAUGAAACCAUCUUGGC